Molecule: ribosomal RNA, 492 nt
Filed under: uncultured bacterium
Lineage: Bacteria
Description: partial 16S ribosomal RNA
Rfam family: Bacterial small subunit ribosomal RNA
Source: RNAcentral
AUUGAACGCUGGCGGCAUGCUUUACACAUGCAAGUCGAACGGAAACAGGCCUUCGGGUGCUGACGAGUGUCGAACGGGGGAGUAAUGGAUCGGAACGUGUCCCGAGGUGGUGGAUAACGCAGCGAAAGCUGUGCUAAUACCGCAUGUGAUCUGAUGAUUAAAACGGGGGAGCAAGCAGGAAUGUUUGGCCUCGCGCCUCUGGUGCGGCCGAUGUCAGAUUAGGUAGUUGGUUGGGUAAAGGCCUACCAAGCCGACGAUCUGUAGCUGGUCUGAGAGGACGACCAGCCACACUGGGACUGAGGCACGGCCCAGACUCCUACGGGAGGCAGCAGUGGGGAAUUUUGGACAAUGGGCGCAAGCCUGAUCCAGCAAUGCCGCGUGCGGGAAGAAGGCCUUCGGGUUGUAAACCGCUUUUGUACGGAACGAAAAGGCUCUGGCUAAUACCUGGGGCUGAUGACGGUACCGAAAGAAUAAGCACCGGCUAACUACGUG